RNAcentral lists this long non-coding RNA (314 nucleotides) under Gossypium raimondii (Peruvian cotton). RNAcentral's name for it is "long non-coding RNA (GRAI_LNC001202)". The record is from RNAcentral. Lineage: Eukaryota; Viridiplantae; Streptophyta; Magnoliopsida; Malvales; Malvaceae.
UGUUUUAGUGUAAGAAGGGGCUUGCUGGUUUGGUGGUUGGUUGUGUGUUAGUUUAGCUUGGGCUCCUAGGUUCGAGUCACUAGGAGUGUUUUGAGAGAUUAUUUUUGUUUUUUUUAAAAGUUUGGAUAAUUGUUCUAUUUAUUUAAUGUUAUUUUAUUAUUUUAUUUUCUAGUUUUUACUGCUCUUUUCUUUUUCACGUUCUCCCUCGCCCCCUCUCUCUCUCCUUUGUUUGCUUUCUUUUUCUUUUUCUUUAUUCAUCUUUUGGGAAACAAUUUUACUUGUGGAUUUCAGAGAGCUUCGCUCCUUUGUUGUCG